AUUGAACGCUGGCGGCAGGCUUAACACAUGCAAGUCGAGCGGUAGCACAGGGGAGCUUGCUCCCUGGGUGACGAGCGGCGGACGGGUGAGUAAUGUCUGGGAAACUGCCUGAUGGAGGGGGAUAACUACUGGAAACGGUAGCUAAUACCGCAUAACGUCGCAAGACCAAAGAGGGGGACCUUCGGGCCUCUUGCCAUCAGAUGUGCCCAGAUGGGAUUAGCUAGUAGGUGGGGUAAUGGCUCACCUAGGCGACGAUCCCUAGCUGGUCUGAGAGGAUGACCAGCCACACUGGAACUGAGACACGGUCCAGACUCCUACGGGAGGCAGCAGUGGGGAUUAUUGCACAAUGGGCGCAAGCCUGAUGCAGCCAUGCCGCGUGUGUGAAGAAGGCCUUCGGGUUGUAAAGCACUUUCAGCGAGGAGGAAGGUGGUGAGCUUAAUACGUUCAUCAAUUGACGUUACUCGCAGAAGAAGCACCGGCUAACUCCGUG
Molecule: ribosomal RNA, 490 nt
Filed under: uncultured bacterium
Lineage: Bacteria
Description: partial 16S ribosomal RNA
Rfam family: Bacterial small subunit ribosomal RNA
Source: RNAcentral